AAUAUUGCGCAAUGGAGGAAACUCUGACGCAGCGACGCCGCGGGAGCGAUGAAGGUCNNNGGAUCNUAAGGCUCUGUCCUUGGNGACNAAGAUCGAAAGAUUUGACGGUACCCGAGGAGGAAGCCCCGGCUAACUACGUGCCAGCAGCCGCGGUAAUACGUAGGGGGCAAGCGUUGUCCGGAAUUAUUGGGCGUAAAGGGUGCGUAGGCGGCCUUUUAAGUCAGAUGUGAAAGCCCACGGCUUAACCGUGGGACUGCAUUUGAAACUGGAGGGCUUGAGUAUCGGAGAGGGUAGUGGAAUUCCCAGUGUAGCGGUGGAAUGCGUAGAUAUUGGGAGGAACACCAGUGGCGAAGGCGACUACCUGGACGAAAACUGACGCUGAGGCACGAAAGCUAGGGGAGCAAAC
This 406-nucleotide ribosomal RNA is filed under the name uncultured bacterium. RNAcentral describes it as "partial 16S ribosomal RNA". It matches the Rfam family "Bacterial small subunit ribosomal RNA", at positions 360 to 773 of the family's 1533-position model. The record is from RNAcentral.